Molecule: RNA transcript, 2559 nt
Organism: Daphnia carinata
Lineage: Eukaryota; Metazoa; Arthropoda; Branchiopoda; Diplostraca; Daphniidae
Gene name: isobutyryl-CoA dehydrogenase, mitochondrial-like
Exons: 13
Source: RefSeq, a predicted model, not a curated record
UUUACCUGGUAGAUCGUAGUCUACUCUCCUCUGUGGUAUUAGUAUUUUACCUGUGUUUUGUUGUUUGCUCUUGUCGGCUUAUAGACUCAUCGGCAUAUCGAAAAUGCUGCCCUGCGUCAUUCGCCAGGUUAAAUUUUCAUCAAGCCAUCGUUUUAAUCGUGUGCAAAAUGUUUUGCCAAAAAUACUCGGAAUCUAUCAUCGAAAUCUCGUUACCAGCGUAGAUCCUUCCAAUGGCUUAAGUGAAGAGCAGCAACAAAUAUACAAGACAGCUCUAAAUUUUGCCCAUCAGGAAAUGAGGCCUCACAUGGCUGAAUGGGAUGAGCAUGAAGUCUUCCCAGUUGACACCAUGAAAAAGGCAGCAGCCCUGGGAUUUGGUGCUAUAUAUGCAAGAGAAGAUUUUGGUGGCACAGGGCUUUCACGUCUUGAUGCAUCCAUUGUAUUUGAAGCUCUAUCACAAGGUUGUGUUUCGACUACUGCCUACAUUAGCAUCCACAAUAUGUGUGCAUGGAUGAUAGAUACCUUUGGUAAUGAAGACUUGAGAAAACAUUGGGUCCCUCAACUUGCAAGUAUGGAAAAGCUUGCAUCAUAUUGCCUGACUGAACCUGGAGCUGGAUCAGAUGCAGGAUCUCUAAGUACAACUGCCAAGAAAUCUGGAAGUGACUUAAUUCUCAAUGGUUCAAAGGCCUUUAUUAGCGGAGGAGGUGAUACCGACGUAUAUUUGAUCAUGUGUAGAACUGGUGAACCGGGUCCGAAAGGGAUCUCGUGCGUCCUAGUUGAGAAAGGGACCCCUGGUCUAAGUUUCGGGAAAAAAGAGAAAAAGAUCGGAUGGAAUUCCCAACCAACUAGAGCCGUCAUUUUGGAAGACUGCCGCGUUCCAAUUAGCAAUAUUGUCGGCAAAGAAGGCCAAGGAUUCAGUAUCGCAAUGAAAGGAUUAAACGGUGGUAGAAUAAAUAUAGCAUCCUGCUCCUUGGGAGCAGCACAAGCAAGUCUGGAAAUUUCAAAAGAUCACCUCCAGGUGCGUAAGCAGUUUGGGAAGCCACUUGCUGAUUUUCAGCAUAACCAAUUUCAAAUCGCAAGAAUGGCUACAAAACUCAUUGCGUCAAGAAUGAUGAUUCGGAAUGCCGCCACGGCUUUGGAAGAGAGUCAUCCUAACCACGUCACUUUAUGUUCAAUGGCCAAACUUUAUGCCACAGAAGCGUGUUUCGAAAUUGUCAAUACUGCUUUGCAGUUGCAUGGUGGCUAUGGCUACCUGAAGGACUACCCUAUCCAACAAUAUCUCAGAGACAUUCGCGUGCAUCUAAUCCUGGAGGGAACUAAUGAGGUCAUGCAAAUGGUGAUAGCCAAAGAUAUUCUGAAAUUUAAGUAAAUUUAUUUUGAAACAGCUCGUAAAGUUUUGCUUUAUGGAGUACACUGCAAUAAAAACAAACUGCCCAUCUGGAUACGGUUUCUUUAGUCCGCCACAGAGACCUAUGGCUUUGUGGAUUGUUUCAAAUGCUAUCGUGGCCGUGGUUACCUGUCGGUAUAAUACCUGUGAAAUCCUAAAAUUGCCGAAAGAUGGUACUGCUUAUCUAGCAGACGAAAGUUAUUAAAAAAAACUAUUCUCAGAUUAGUGUGUAACGUCUUCAUUCAAUUGAUCAGUAAUUACAGUUUGAAAUAGUAUUUUUUGCUUCAAAAAAUUUUAAUUGUAAUGUUGGCCGUGUUGUGUCCGAGGCAAAUCGUCGUUGGUCAUAUUCCUCCUUGGACUGGUACGGAGUUGCUUAUAGAUAAACUACGGAAAAGCACUGUUAGCCUAUUCUUGUGCAUUUAAUUUGAAUCAAGAAUCCAAUUCUCUGAAAUCAAACAGAAGAAAGGUUCCUGUUGUAUGUUACCGAAAUGCCCUCCAGACGCCCACCGCUUACAGAAGAGCAGAAAGCUGAAAAGAAUGCAAAGCUUCGCGAAAGAAGGGCUUCAGAAACGGCUGAUGCUAGAGAGAGGCGGUUGCGGGAAGUCAGAGAACGAAGAGCUGCAAUAAAAAUAGGAAAACGCAACAAUGACAAAACUCUGAAGUCUCUUGCUCCUCAAGCUGUACAUCAACGAAUAGUCAUCAUCGUCCAGAGCGAUAAAGCUAAAGGCGACAAACCGCGUCUUAUCCUUCCAAAGCAGUCAAAGAGUACUCCAGGUGUUUUGCUAACCUGGUCUUUUAAUCAAAUCAAUCAUAUUCCCUUGGCGAUCUCUGCCGUUAAUCCGCAAGUUGUGGAACCUAGUUGCCAGGAAAGGACAACAUUAUCAAUCAUAUGUGACAGCCAAUCUGACAAAACAAUACUUCCCCAAUCAUCGGUUACCCCAGAAUCUGAGAGGCGACCGAAUGAAACGCCUGUAACAAAAUCGCACACUCUUACGUUAAAGGACGAAGCAAUGGAGUCAAUAGUGGCAACGAGCAGUCCAGUGAAAACUAUGGCAGACAAAAGCCUCUUGAACAGUCCUCAGGCAGCCGGAAAGGAAACCAGUGGCAGCUUGCAUCCGGCUGAAGUUCUUCAAACCUGUUCACGACAGGUGGAAUCUAGCAACUCGAAAAAUAAC